RNAcentral lists this non-coding RNA (26 nucleotides) under Mus musculus (house mouse). The record is from RNAcentral. Lineage: Eukaryota; Metazoa; Chordata; Mammalia; Rodentia; Muridae.
UAUCACUCUCCAUGUCAGCCCUUCCA